RNAcentral lists this ribosomal RNA (533 nucleotides) under Bifidobacterium breve. RNAcentral's name for it is "bacterial SSU rRNA". It matches the Rfam family "Bacterial small subunit ribosomal RNA", at positions 159 to 702 of the family's 1533-position model. Lineage: Bacteria; Bacillati; Actinomycetota; Actinomycetes; Bifidobacteriales; Bifidobacteriaceae. The record is from RNAcentral.
GGUGGUAAUGCCGGAUGCUCCAUCACACCGCAUGGUGUGUUGGGAAAGCCUUUGCGGCAUGGGAUGGGGUCGCGUCCUAUCAGCUUGAUGGCGGGGUAACGGCCCACCAUGGCUUCGACGGGUAGCCGGCCUGAGAGGGCGACCGGCCACAUUGGGACUGAGAUACGGCCCAGACUCCUACGGGAGGCAGCAGUGGGGAAUAUUGCACAAUGGGCGCAAGCCUGAUGCAGCGACGCCGCGUGAGGGAUGGAGGCCUUCGGGUUGUAAACCUCUUUUGUUAGGGAGCAAGGCAUUUUGUGUUGAGUGUACCUUUCGAAUAAGCACCGGCUAACUACGUGCCAGCAGCCGCGGUAAUACGUAGGGUGCAAGCGUUAUCCGGAAUUAUUGGGCGUAAAGGGCUCGUAGGCGGUUCGUCGCGUCCGGUGUGAAAGUCCAUCGCUUAACGGUGGAUCCGCGCCGGGUACGGGCGGGCUUGAGUGCGGUAGGGGAGACUGGAAUUCCCGGUGUAACGGUGGAAUGUGUAGAUAUCGGAA